GUGACACACACUUCUGCUUGUGAUUUGUAUCUGGGACUCGGAGCCCCAGCUUUGGCUUCCAGAAUCUCUGAAUUGACAGGUUCAAAAGCAUCAAUUGUACAAGUGCCAGCUGGAGGAGACCUUGCCUGAAUGCAGUUUUCUGGUAAUGAGAUCCAUCAGAGAUGACAUGAGGACAUGGUCUAUCCUGGUUUGGGUGAACAGACUGGCUUAAUGAGCUAGUAAGCA
This 225-nucleotide long non-coding RNA is filed under the name Homo sapiens (human). RNAcentral's name for it is "HSALNT0314854". Lineage: Eukaryota; Metazoa; Chordata; Mammalia; Primates; Hominidae. The record is from RNAcentral.